This 200-nucleotide unclassified non-coding RNA is filed under the name Cryptodiscus sp. Its description in RNAcentral is "partial internal transcribed spacer 2". The record is from RNAcentral. Lineage: Eukaryota; Fungi; Ascomycota; Lecanoromycetes; Ostropales; Stictidaceae.
UUAAGUUCAGCGGGUAGUCCUACCUGAUCCGAGGUCGAUUUCAAAAAUAGGGGGCGUUGUCCGGCUAACGCACGACCGACAACUCCGGGGCGACAGCUAAAUGUCACUACGCCAGGGAGUCCGGCUACGUCGCCGCUGCGUUUCGAGGGCGCCCCAGCGGGGCGGCCUCCAAUACCAAGCAGAGCUUGAGGGUGCAAAUG